UACGUUAUUUUGACCCCAAUUACCAUUAGUUGCAGAAGAAACGUCUUCUAUCGAAUUCAUCAAGCUUAUCGUUGAAGAAAAAAGAAGAGGAGUGAGUGAGUGAGUGAGUGAGAGAGAUGGGAGAAGAUCCACAGAAAACAAAGAAGAUCGCAGCAGCAGCAUAUGAUUACGAGAAUGAUUCGAGAUGGGAAGAUUACUGGUCUAACAUACUCAUUCCUCCUCACAUGGCUUCUCGUUCUGAUGUGGUUGAUCACUACAAGAAGAAGUUUUAUCAGCGUUACAUAGACCCUGAUCUCGUGGUUGAAGCGAUGUCUUCUGGCAGUUCCUCUCAGUCAUCGAAGUCUUCAUCCACAUCAUCGCAACCUGCUUCUGAACAAGUACGGGGUCGAAGCACAGGGGCAAGUACUAGAACAUCUGCCACAUCUGGAACUUCCACUACACCAGCUGCUAAUCCAAGUUCUCUGCGUUUGGAUCGACCAACCAUACAAUUUGCCGCCAAUGCUUGGGUGUUUAUCGUGGCAGUGCUUGCAAUCAUUCCUCUCACACCUAAAAAUCUUUCAAUUAGAGCAUAUCGACUGUCUUUUAUGGGAACCACAUGUUCCUCUUUGUUUUCGUUGUACGUAGUCUACGGGAAACCUAGGGCAUGGAAUCUACAAGCUGUCCAACUGUGGUUGCAAUCACUACUUGCAACCAAGGAUUUCAUCUACUUCAUUUACUGCCUUACUUUUGUCACCUCCAACCUUAACAUGAAAUUUGCUUUAAUACCUGUGCUCUGCCGAUCGCUUGAACAUGUGGCGAAGUUCCUAAGGCGCAAUUUCAGUCACUCUUACUUGUAUAGGAAGUACUUGGAUGAGGCUUGUCUCUGGGUGGAAUCAAACACAACUACACUUGGUAUACUGACAUCUCAUGCAGAGAUCGGAGUUGGAUUUCUUUUCAUCGUUUCACUAUUCUCGUGGCAACGCAACAUUAUACAGACCUUCAUGUAUUGGCAGUUUGCAGUAUAAAAAUUUUAAAAAGGAGAAGAAAAAGUAUCAAGAUCAGCAUGUGAGCGUUUAGGUAUUGAAGUUCAUGUACCGUGCACCUGUAACCUCUGGGUAUCAUCAAAGUGCAUGGGCUAAGAUCGGUCGGACUAUUAAUCCUCUGGUCAAUCGCUACGCCCCAUUCUUGAACACUCCAUUAUCUGCUGCUCAGAGAUGGUGGUUGAGGUAAUACAACAACAACAAUAGUUAGACGAGGAGAUACAAAUGUAAAGUGGAUGAAGGGUUUAAAAGAAUCACAUGGGUUAACCUUUUCUCAGGAAUCUCUUUAUGGAAAAGUCUGAUUAUAAGAUUAGAUUAUGGAACCAUUUUGAUUAACUAGACUCGAGAUUAACACCUCCAUUUAACUCAAGGUCACCUUUAAAAAUUUAAAUCUGUUAAUGCUUUUGCUUUUGGGUUUUUA
RNA transcript from Papaver somniferum (opium poppy), 1440 nucleotides. RefSeq lists it as uncharacterized. The record is from RefSeq and is a predicted model, not a curated record. The transcript has 10 exons. Lineage: Eukaryota; Viridiplantae; Streptophyta; Magnoliopsida; Ranunculales; Papaveraceae.